RNAcentral lists this small RNA (28 nucleotides) under Bombyx mori (domestic silkworm). RNAcentral describes it as "ovarian small RNA-8718". The record is from RNAcentral. Lineage: Eukaryota; Metazoa; Arthropoda; Insecta; Lepidoptera; Bombycidae.
UGGACUUGGAUUGACAAGGAGGCAACAC